UAUGAUGUGUGGGCUUCUCAUUGUGGUGGCUUCAGUAGUUGGGCCAUAUAGGCUUAGUGGUUGUGACUCGUGGGCCCUAGGGUGUGCAGGCUUCAGUAGUUGGCAGUUCCUGGGCUCUAGAGCACAGGCUCAAUACUUGUGACACAGGCUGAGUUGCUCCACGGCAUGUGAGAUCUUCUGGGACCAGGGAUUGAACCCGUGUCUUCUGCAUUGGCAGGUGGAUUCUUUACCACUAAGUCAAUAGGGAAGCCCUGUAACAGUUUUUAUAUUGGACUAUUCAGUGGUGACUUGUUGUGGAGAACAGGCUCUAGGUGGCAAGGGCUUCAGUCGUUGUGGUAUCUUGUAUAAGUGGAAUCAAAUAGUAUUUGGAGAGCAGACAUCCUUGCUUUGUUACUGGUCUUAGAGGGAAAACAUUCAAUUGGUCACCGUUAUUACUGCAAAACAGUAGAUAUUUUGUAGAUGUACUUUAUCAGGUCUAAGUAGUUUCCUUUUAUUCCUGAUUUCCUGAAAAUUUUCUUAGAAAUGAAUGCUUUCUAAUGCUUUUUUGUUAUUGAUUGAUAAGAUGGUGUGGAUUUUCUUUUCCUUUUGUCAAUAUGGUGAAUUAAAUUGGUUUUUCAAAUGUUGAAAUUUCUAGGGUAAACCUCACUUGGUCAUUAAGAAUUAUUCUUGUUCUAUAUUACUGGAUUUAACUUGGCAUUUUAUGGAGCAUUUCUGUCUGUGUUCAUGAGGGAUAUUGGUCUGUAGUUUUUCUUUUCUAGUUUUGGUAUCAGGGUAAUAAUAUUGCCCUCAUGAAAUUAAUUGAAAGUGUUUCCUUUUCUAUUUUCAGAAGAGAGUGUGUGAAUUCUGGUAGCUUGAAUCUUUCAAGAUAUCGGUCCAUUUCAUCCACGUUACCAAACACCUUGCAUGCAGAGUUUUUCUUGAGCUUUUCUGGUGGCUCAGUCAUAAAGAAUCUGCCUGCCUAUGCAGGAGACUUGGGUUCCAUCCCUGGAUCGGGAAGAUCCCUCGGAGAAGGAAGUGGUUCAUGGGAUCGCAAGAGAGUUGGACACGAUUUAGCAGCUAAACAACAACAAUAAGGAAUAAGGAAUUUUCCUUAUUAUCCUUUUAAUUGUGAGUGGUCAUGUGUGGAUGUGAGAGUUGGACUGUGAAGAAAGCUGAGCACCGAAGAAUUGAUGCUUUUGAAUUGUGGUGUUGGAAAAGACUCUUGAGAGGCCCUUGAACUGCAAGGAGAUCCAGCCAGUGCAUCCUAAAGGAGAUCAGUCCUGGGUGUUCACUGGAAGGACUGAUGUUGAAGCUGAAACUCCAAUACUUUGGCCACCUCACGUGAAGAGUUGACUCAUUGGAAAAGACCCUGAUGCGGGGAGGGAUUGGGGGCAGGAGGAGAAGGGGACGACAGGAUGAGAUGGCUGGAUGGCAUCAUCAACUCGAUGGACAUGAGUUUGAGUAAACUCUGGGAGUCGGUGAUGGACAGGGAGGCCUGGCGUGCUACGAUUCAUGGGGUUGCAAAGAGUUGGACACGACUGAGUGAACUGAACUGAGAAUUUGCAUUUCUAUCAAAUUAACCUGGUAAUGGUGAAAGUUGCUCAUCUGGGGGACAGCAGUUUGAGAAGUACAGCUCUGGAACAGUUUCUCAACCUCGUUAUUGUUGACAUUUGGGGUUUUAAAAUCCUUUGUUGUUGAGGCUGAACUGUGUGUUAUAGGUUAUUUAGCGUCUUCCGUCUCUACCCACUAGUGCUACUUAAUCCAUGUUGUGACAACGAAAAAUGUCCUCAAAUAUUGCCAGAUGCUCCCCAGGGCAGAUAGAGGCCUCCACGCACUUCAGGAACCACUGCCUUGGAUAACUAUCUAGUGAAAACCCUUAAGUCUUUAUCUCUAAGUUCUUUUAUUUUAGCCUAGUUAGAUUUUCCUUGGAGACAUUGUAUAUUAUUAUCCUUAUGCUUGAAUGUUGAAAGUCCAGACGCCGGCAUUCUGUUUGAUAGCUGUGAGGGGAAUGGGGAAAGGCUGAGCAUCUCGUAUGUCUCUGUUGACUUAAUCUUCUUUUAGUGUCGUACUCCUUUUCUCCAUGUGCCUAGUAUGUUCUUUAGUCCAGAGACCCUGUUCCCCUUCCAGAGGAAAGAAAAUUCUCCCUCCUUUUUGU
Molecule: long non-coding RNA, 2134 nt
Organism: Dama dama (fallow deer)
Lineage: Eukaryota; Metazoa; Chordata; Mammalia; Artiodactyla; Cervidae
Exons: 4
Source: RefSeq, a predicted model, not a curated record